This 49-nucleotide small nucleolar RNA is filed under the name Pyrobaculum calidifontis JCM 11548. Its description in RNAcentral is "PCAsR49". Lineage: Archaea; Thermoproteati; Thermoproteota; Thermoprotei; Thermoproteales; Thermoproteaceae. The record is from RNAcentral.
GUGAUGAAAUGCACCUAACCCGAGAGGUGGCGAGCUCACGGUACGCUGA